GUGAGGAAUAUUGGUCAAUGGGCGGGAGCCUGAACCAGCCAAGUCGCGUGAAGGAAGAAGGAUCUAUGGUUCGUAAACUUCUUUUGCAGGGGAAUAAAGUGCAGGACGUGUCCUGUUUUGUAUGUACCCUGAGAAUAAGGAUCGGCUAACUCCGUGCCAGCAGCCGCGGUAAUACGGAGGAUCCGAGCGUUAUCAGGAUUUAUUGGGUUGAAAGGGUGCGUAGGUGGUUUGAUAAGUCAGCGGUGUAAGUUUGCAGCUUAACUGUAAGAAUGCCGUAGAAACUGUCGGGCUUGAGUGUAAAGGAGGUAGGAUUAAUGCGUGGUGUAGCGGUGAAAUGCAUAGAUAGCACGCAGAACUCCGAUUGCGAAGGCAGCUUACUAAGCUACAACUGACACUGAAGCACGAAAGCGUGGGGAUCAAACAGGAUUAGAUACCCUAGUAGUCC
Molecule: ribosomal RNA, 445 nt
Filed under: uncultured bacterium
Lineage: Bacteria
Description: partial 16S ribosomal RNA
Rfam family: Bacterial small subunit ribosomal RNA
Source: RNAcentral